AACGAACGCUGGCGGCAUGCCUAACACAUGCAAGUCGAACGAGACCUUCGGGUCUAGUGGCGCACGGGUGCGUAACGCGUGGGAACCUGCCUUAGGUUCGGAAUAACUCAGAGAAAUUUGAGCUAAUACCGGGAUAAUGUCUUCGGACCAAAGAUUUAUCGCCUUUAGAUGGGCCCGCGUAAGAUUAGCUAGUUGGUGGGGUAAAGCCUACCAAGGCGACGAUCUUUAGCUGGUCUGAGAGGAUGAUCAGCCACACUGGGACUGAGACACGGCCCAGACUCCUACGGGAGGCAGCAGUGGGGAAUAUUGGACAAUGGGCGAAAGCCUGAUCCAGCAAUGCCGCGUGAGUGAUGAAGGCCUUAGGGUUGUAAAGCUCUUUUACCCGAGAUGAUAAUGACAGUAUCGGGAGAAUAAGCUCCGGCUAACUCCGUGCCAGCAGCCGCGGUAA
RNAcentral lists this ribosomal RNA (448 nucleotides) under uncultured bacterium. RNAcentral's name for it is "bacterial SSU rRNA". It matches the Rfam family "Bacterial small subunit ribosomal RNA", at positions 29 to 523 of the family's 1533-position model. The record is from RNAcentral.